ACAACUUAAACCGCAACCUGAUC
This 23-nucleotide non-coding RNA is filed under the name Arabidopsis thaliana (thale cress). The record is from RNAcentral. Lineage: Eukaryota; Viridiplantae; Streptophyta; Magnoliopsida; Brassicales; Brassicaceae.